This 879-nucleotide long non-coding RNA is filed under the name Macaca nemestrina (pig-tailed macaque). RNAcentral describes it as "lncRNA (ENSMNEG00000045670.1)". The record is from RNAcentral. Lineage: Eukaryota; Metazoa; Chordata; Mammalia; Primates; Cercopithecidae.
GCUUUACGCACAAUAACUUCUAUUUUCCUCACCCUUCUAGGUGUCUGUUAGCCUAAUCUUUCCUGGUUGUGUGACAAGAGCCUGGUUUUUGCUGAACUAAGGAGAAAAUUCUGCAACAAUAAUAUAAAAACUUCCACUUCAGAAGGAGAUGAAGACUUUGGAAAAGUUUCAUGGGGAAGGAUUUGAGGAUCACACCAUCCUCCCUUGUACAUGAAGAAACCUAGAAGCAGAGAAGCCAUCCACUCUCCCCAUGUCAGUCAGCCAGUGAUCCAUGGCAAAGAUAAUUGACGCUCUGGCAAACCUGGUAUACCCCAGCUACUGCGGAUGUCUGAGGCUGAUAGCUCACAGAGCCAAAUUCAGUCCACUACAAGAAGCCUGUGUUGUCAGCUGUUAUGAAGCUUGUAGAUGGGUGGAGAUGCAAGAGAGACUACAAAUGAAUAACGACAACAAAAAUCAGCCAGUGACUGGUACGUGCAGAUAAUUGAAGUUAUAGAAAGUCAUUAGGUAACUCUUUAAGAUUAUUUUUUUCUGGAAGGUCUCUAGGAAUUAGUGGUAUUUCAACAAUAAUCCGAAUGACAAGAAAAAAUUAGGAGUUCAAAUACCCUGAGGAAGAGUUUCCUAGGCAAAGGGAAAAGUUAAUGUAGAGACAAAAGUUACAACAGGUAUGUCGUAUUAAAUAAAUGAAAAACAAAACCAUAUAGCUAGAAAAUAGUAGAUACACUUGGAGGUGUAGAUAUGGACCAAAUCAUAUAGUACCUUGUAAACCAGAAUAAGGAAUUAAUCAAUUAGUAACACUUACGUUCUGGUAGUCUCACAUAGCUUCCAAAUUUCUUAACAUAGUAUACGUUAUUGUGGUGCUCCUUAGACAUUUGCUGCAGU